This is a long non-coding RNA of Coturnix japonica (Japanese quail), 361 nucleotides long. RefSeq lists it as uncharacterized. The record is from RefSeq and is a predicted model, not a curated record. Lineage: Eukaryota; Metazoa; Chordata; Aves; Galliformes; Phasianidae.
GCUGAGCUCACAACCCAAGGGAAUGGGGCUUCAGUCCCCCACGGCCAAUAGAAGUUUCCAGGCCAUGACUGCGCUCCAAGGACACAGCUCCUCACCAGCUUCUUUGUCAGAGCAAUUGAACUGAAUAGUAUCAGCACUUUGCUCCCAGCCAUCUCAUGGAAGUUUUGGAAACACCAUGCUGUAACCAAGUUUCCCACAGAUGUCAGAGGAUGCUGAAGUCACAGCUGUAGCACCAGCAGAGUGACUCCUCACAUCUGCAAGACAUCUGAAUACAUUUCUGAAGUCCAAACUGGAGGACACCAAAAAGUUCAGCUUCUGAAUGGAACGCAUCUAGGAAAGAGAAUGCUUUGAGCGAUCAGCA